This 467-nucleotide ribosomal RNA is filed under the name uncultured bacterium. RNAcentral's name for it is "partial 16S ribosomal RNA". It matches the Rfam family "Bacterial small subunit ribosomal RNA", at positions 28 to 506 of the family's 1533-position model. The record is from RNAcentral.
GACGAACGCUGGCGGCGUGCUUAACACAUGCAAGUCGAACGGAAAGGCCCUGCUUUUGUGGGGUGCUCGAGUGGCGAACGGGGGAGUAACACGUGAGUAACCUGCCCUUGACUUUGGGAUAACUUCAGGAAACUGGGGCUAAUACCGGAUAGGAGCUCCUGCUGCAUGGUGUGGGUUGGAAAGUUUCGGCGGUUGGGGAUGGACUCGCGGCUUAUCAGCUUGUUGGUGGGGUAGUGGCUUACCAAGGCUUUGACGGGUAGCCGGCCUGAGAGGGUGACCGGCAACAUUGGGACUGGGAUACGGCCCAGAGGCAGACGGGAGGAAGGGGUGGGGAAUUUUGCAAAAUGGGCGGAGGCCGUGAGGAACAACGCCGGGUGGGGAAUGACGGCCUUCGGGUUGUAAACCGCUUGCGCCUGUGACGAAGCGUGAGGGAGGGAAAUGGGUAAAGAAGCACCGGCAAACUACGU